This 267-nucleotide long non-coding RNA is filed under the name Chinchilla lanigera (long-tailed chinchilla). Its description in RNAcentral is "lncRNA (ENSCLAG00000023294.1)". The record is from RNAcentral. Lineage: Eukaryota; Metazoa; Chordata; Mammalia; Rodentia; Chinchillidae.
ACGGAGGGCGCGCGGCCGCCACCGAGCCUCUGCGUGCUCCCGCGCACGCCAGGCCCAGACGCGCCGCCGGCCACGUGACCCGGCCCCGCCCCCUAACGGAAGUGGGUCGGAGUCCCGGGCCAGGAGAUCGCCAGGGCAGACUUCCGGCUCCACUGCGCGCAAGGACACGCUUAAGCCAGAAUCCUUAUAAAUGAUUAAUAUGCUGUAUGCGUGCUGAGCUGGGGACCGGCUGACAGUUUUAAGGUGAUACGUAAAGGUCCAGUAUCG